Molecule: non-coding RNA, 920 nt
Filed under: Xerotyphlops vermicularis (Eurasian blind snake)
Lineage: Eukaryota; Metazoa; Chordata; Lepidosauria; Squamata; Typhlopidae
Description: 12S ribosomal RNA
Rfam family: Bacterial small subunit ribosomal RNA
Source: RNAcentral
AGGUCUUGGUCCUAAACCUAAUAUUGCCCACAGCUAAAGUAUACAUGCAAGCCUCCACAACACAGUGAGAUGCCCAAAGCCACUUAUUAAGAGUACGGAGCGGGUAUCAGGCCCAAUGCCUAUGACACCAUGCUACGCCACACCCACACGGGCCCGCAGCAGUAACCAACAUUGGGAUAUAAGCGAAAGCUAGACCCAGUUAUAGCUUCUAAGGUUGGUAAAAUUCGUGCCAGCGACCGCGGUUACACGAAUGACCUAAGGUAAUAUUAACGGCGUAAACAUGACUAGGGCUACACAUGAACCUUAAGGAAGAAACAAAAGCCUGCUGUAAAAAGCCAAGCUUAAAAUAAUCUUAAAGCCUUAACCACCCCUGACUCAUGAAAUCCAAGAAACAAACUAGGAUUAGAUACCCUACUAUGCUUGGCAGUAACAAGGUUGAAAUGAACUUCACCAGCCCGCCAGAUUAUUACAAGCGAAAGCCUAAAACUCAAAGGACUUGACGGUGUCCCACAUUCAACCUAGAGGAGCCUGUCCUAUAAUCGAUGAUCCACGAUUCACCUCACCAUUUUUUGCCAAACAGCCUAUAUACCGCCGUCACAAGUUCACCUUUUGAAAGGAAAAGAGUGAACAAAAUAGCCCAGUGCUAGUAUGUCAGGUCAAGGUGUAGCUAAUAAACUGGUUUGAGAUGGGCUACAUUUCCUUUGUAAAGGAAACACGAACGGUCUUAUGAAAACCCACCAGAAGGAGGAUUUAGUAGUAAAGUGGGAUUAGCAAGCCUGCUUGAAUACACUGCCCUGGGACACGUACACACCGCCCGUCACCCCUAUCAACUAUUUGUCUUAAAAUUUCAUAAAACAAUAAAAAAUGAAAAGAUCGGGUAAGUCGUAACAAGGUAAGCGUACUGGAAAGUGUGCUUAGAA